Podarcis lilfordi (Lilford's wall lizard) is the source of this 73-nucleotide non-coding RNA. Lineage: Eukaryota; Metazoa; Chordata; Lepidosauria; Squamata; Lacertidae. The record is from the annotation of a GenBank genome assembly.
ACUGGGAUAGCUCAGCCGGUAGAACAUGAGGCUCUUAAUCUCGGGGUUGUGGGUUAAAGCCCCACUUUGGGUG